This is a non-coding RNA of Carica papaya (papaya), 818 nucleotides long. NCBI's taxonomy places the organism in Eukaryota, Viridiplantae, Streptophyta, Magnoliopsida, Brassicales, Caricaceae. The record is from RefSeq and is a predicted model, not a curated record.
AGCAUCAAAAGCAACCAAAAAGAAAACAAAAGUGAACCAGAAGCCAAACGUUUCAGGGAAGGCGAGAGAUCUAACCAGACAUGGGUUAAGAGAGAGAGAGAACUACACAGCAGCUGAAUUUUGUUUUAUCGCAGCUGCUGAUAAACACAUCUCUGAUUGCGUGCUUCUUUCUUUUCCUCUCUCCCGGCGGAAAUUGUUGCACAAUUUGAAAAUAGCGGAGUAAACUUUUUUUCUACUCUACUUUGGGAUUUAUUUUUAUUUGAUCAGGCUAUAAGUAACGAGAGACAGGCGGCUUUUAUAUUAUCUACCACUACAGAAUUGGUUAUUUAUUUAUUCUGUAGUGGUAUCCACUGGUUUUGGUUGUGAUUCAAUAGCGAGAAUUGGCUACUAUUUGAAAUUCGUGAUUAGAGUUGAAAGUUAGUGGUGAUUUUUGCUGGAGUUAUGGCUGCGCAAGCCGAUUCUAAACGGAAAUAUUCUUGGUGGUGGGAUAGCCACAUAAGCCCCAAGAAUUCAAAAUGGCUUCAGGAGAAUCUUACAGGUAUUGUGCAUUCUAUUACAUGGCUACAGUGUGAGUUGAUUGUUUCACAUGGUUAAUUUGGCACUUCAUGAGUUGGCGCAGCUACCUGCGGGAAUCUCAUCUAAUAUGAGUUCAUAGAUAUUGCAUCAUAAUUUUCAGUGAUUAACUUAAAGCGUUAGAAAUGAGUUUCUGGUAGUUGAAUGUAAAUAUAAGUGCUGAAAAUUUUUCUCAAAUUUGUACUGGGUGAGGUGUCCCAUGUUAUCCUCAAUUUACACUUGCUGUAAACUUUGAAUGAUUGUUG